AGAAAUGAUUGUUAAACUAGCUAUAUUUAACAUUAUAUUUUCUUCUUUACAGGUACCAGCGACCUGGCUCCCACCUCGCCUGGGUCCCCCAGGACCUCAGAUGGGGGGAAAGAGUACCUUUUCAGUGGAACAGAGGAGAAUCAGUUGAGAUAGAGUUCUUGUCCAAAAGCUAAGUCUGAGGUUUACAGCAAAACAGCCAACAGGAGCUUGGAGGGAAAAAGCUGUCCCACAACAAAAGCCCAGCUCAAGAACCCCUAGAGACCAGAGAAGUUUGGAGCUUUAAAAGCUGCUCCCCAGAAGUAAAUUACAGGAAGCACCAAGCUGGCAUCUGUUGUGAAAAUAAUAUGUGCCAGAGAGGGAAAGGAGAAUACCAAGAAGGACAUCAGGUAUGGUCAUUUUGUUUUGAUUCUUUUUGUCAAGCAACAUAUAUAGGCCGCAAUUGCAUUAAAUUAAUAUGAUGUGCACUUUCUGUCUGUUGUUGUCUUUAUUUGUUAGGUGCAGUGCAGCAGGAGCAUUCCCACAACUUUUGAUCACACUCUCCUAUGAGAAAACUUUAACAAAUUUUAUAAAAAUAAAAGUGCUUUCAUCAAAUAG
Long non-coding RNA from Colossoma macropomum (tambaqui), 594 nucleotides. RefSeq lists it as uncharacterized. Lineage: Eukaryota; Metazoa; Chordata; Actinopteri; Characiformes; Serrasalmidae. The transcript has 3 exons. The record is from RefSeq and is a predicted model, not a curated record.